CACGCCGCGUGAGUGAUGAAGGUUUUCGGAUCGUAAAGCUCUGUUGUUAGGGAAGAACAAGUACCGUUCGAAUAGGGCGGUACCUUGACGGUACCUAACCAGAAAGCCACGGCUAACUACGUGCCAGCAGCCGCGGUAAUACGUAGGUGGCAAGCGUUGUCCGGAAUUAUUGGGCGUAAAGGGCUCGCAGGCGGUUUCUUAAGUCUGAUGUGAAAGCCCCCGGCUCAACCGGGGAGGGUCAUUGGAAACUGGGGAACUUGAGUGCAGAAGAGGAGAGUGGAAUUCCACGUGUAGCGGUGAAAUGCGUAGAGAUGUGGAGGAACACCAGUGGCGAAGGCGACUCUCUGGUCUGUAACUGACGCUGAGGAGCGAAAGCGUGGGGAGCGAACAGGAUUAGAUACCCUGGUAGUCCACGCCGUAAACGAUGAGUGCUAAGUGUUAGGGGGUUUCCGCCCCUUAGUGCUGCAGCUAACGCAUUAAGCACUCCGGCUUGGGGAGA
RNAcentral lists this ribosomal RNA (499 nucleotides) under Bacillus subtilis. RNAcentral's name for it is "bacterial SSU rRNA". It matches the Rfam family "Bacterial small subunit ribosomal RNA", at positions 393 to 881 of the family's 1533-position model. Lineage: Bacteria; Bacillati; Bacillota; Bacilli; Caryophanales; Bacillaceae. The record is from RNAcentral.